UACAUUUAAACCUUUAAUUAGGAGGUUAAUAAUUAAGCUCAAUAGCCCCUCAUAAAUAUCUUUACUCAUUGACUAUUAAUAUACUGAUCAAAUUUCUCAUGCCAUUUUAAUUAUUAAUAAAACAUAAUCAUCUGAACGUACUUCAGUCACGAAGGUAGUGAGAUGGACAUCAUGGAGACUGCGGUGACUUCUCAUUUUCAUACCUAAUCCUCGAACUACACUUGAAAGUGACACUGCAAGAUGAAUCAACCACAGCAGUAUAUUGGUGAAUCGGCUUAGAAAGGAAAGGAGGCAAAUGAGCCAACAGGGCGCAAACACAUUCGCUAUCGAUUGAUUUCAUCCACCUGCAACAUUCUUCUUCUACAGGAGUUUC
Molecule: long non-coding RNA, 373 nt
Filed under: Nicotiana benthamiana
Lineage: Eukaryota; Viridiplantae; Streptophyta; Magnoliopsida; Solanales; Solanaceae
Description: long non-coding RNA (NBEN_LNC019665)
Source: RNAcentral